CUUUUUAUAAACACAACACAUGUGAAAGCGUAUACAUCCUUAAAUAUAUAUUUUUAUAUGCUUUAAAAUGUUGAGAAGAAAAGGCCGAUUGUUCGACUUUUUCAAAAGAAGCUUCGUGAGCGAGGAGAAAAUUUUCGAUUAUUUAAAAAAAAAAACUGAACAAGUCAGCUUAAACGAACGAGCUAACUUAAACGAACGGGUCAGCUUAAACGAACGGGUCAGCUUAAACGGACGAGUCAGCUUAAACGAACAAGCUAACUAUGAUAAAAAACAAAAAUCCACGAACAUAAACGCAAGCACAAGCACUAACACAAACACUAACACAAACACUAACACAAACGACGGCAAAGAAGAAGAAAAAGAAAAAGUCGAAAUAAUAAACAUUGAUGAAAAGGUUUUUGAAAAUACGGGCGUUUUAAAAAACGAUAUAGAAGAACAAACUGGGUCAGCAAAAGAAGAUGGAUUUUACGAAAACAUGAAUAUUUUUCAAAAAAUGGAUAUUAAAAAGUUAUUAAAAGAAACAAUAGAUUAUUAUGGCUCGAAGCAGCUGACUGAAAAUAAGAAAAUAAAACCAAAAGAAGCAAGAGCAGAAAGAAGAACAGAAGCAGGAGCAGAAACAAGAACAGAAGCAGGAGCAGAAACAAGAACAGAAGAGUUAAAUAUAAAUAACUCAAAAAAAAAAAUAAAUUUAUCCAACAAUAUCAAAUUAAAUACUACGGAUGACACAUUACAUGACGGAUUACAUUAUAUAAAAAAUGAAAGUUGUGUUAAUAAAACAAAUAGCAUUUUUCAAAAUAUACAAGAAGGUACACAUUUGGGUAUGAGUACGAUUACAAAAAAGGAUACUGUUGUUAGUGACUAUGACAACUACAGAAACCACGACAAUCACAUACAUGACGACACAUGCGAAUUUUUAACUCCUGCACAACGGUUUUACGAAGAAAAUAAAGAAAAGCUAUUUUACGAAAGCAUGAAAUAUUAUAACAACAAAAAAAAAAAAGUUUUAAAUAAACAAGAUGGAGAAGAUAAUAUUUAUGAUGAAGAUUACUACUAUAUAAAUAACACAAAUCCGAUUGUUAGACCGAAAAAAAACUAUUUAUUUGAUUAUGAAAAUGAUGAAAACGAUUAUACAUAUGACCAUAUGUAUGGUCAUACUAACGACAAUAAUGAACGUGAUGAUAAUAUAGAACUAGAAAAAGGAAUAAUGCCAACUAUAGAACAAAUAAUAUGUAUAUUAAAAUAUGAAAAAGUUAAAAAUAUUAAAGUUAUAAAUUUAGAUGAAUGUGGUAGAAGAGAUGUAGGUAUGUUUCUAAUUUUAUGUACGGGGCAAACACCAAAACAUAAUAAAAAAGUUGGUAAACUAAUAAGUAAAAUAUUUAAAGAUUUAGAAAUACCAUAUAUAUCAAAUAUAGUAUACUGCUAUUGUAAUAAAGAAGAUGAAUGGGUUAUUACCCACUGUGGACCACUAAAAGUCCAUAUUAUUACUCAAGAGCUAAGAGAGUUAUAUGAUAUAGAAAAUUUAUUUUUAUAUCCACAUGAACAUUUUAAUAAUCAUAACUUUCCUUCCUUUUUUGAUUAUACACCUGGAGUACCUCCACCUUACAUUGUUCGAAGUAAUACGCCCGUGGAUUCUUAUCAAAGUGAUGAGUUAUAUCAGAAGUUUAUAUCGGACACGUGAAAAAAAAAAA
RNAcentral lists this long non-coding RNA (1688 nucleotides) under Piliocolobus tephrosceles (Ugandan red Colobus). RNAcentral describes it as "lncRNA (ENSPTEG00000010639.1)". The record is from RNAcentral. Lineage: Eukaryota; Metazoa; Chordata; Mammalia; Primates; Cercopithecidae.